RNAcentral lists this ribosomal RNA (447 nucleotides) under uncultured bacterium. RNAcentral describes it as "partial 16S ribosomal RNA". It matches the Rfam family "Bacterial small subunit ribosomal RNA", at positions 29 to 523 of the family's 1533-position model. The record is from RNAcentral.
AACGAACGCUGGCGGCAGGCUUAACACAUGCAAGUCGAGCGCCCCGAAAGGGGAGCGGCAGACGGGUGAGUAACGCGUGGGAAUGUGCCCUUUGGUCUGGAAUAACUCAGUGAAACUUGAGCUAAUAUCGGAUAAGCCCUUCGGGGGAAAGAUUUAUUGCCAUUGGAGCAGCCCGCGUCAGAUUAGCUAGUUGGUGAGGUAAAAGCUCACCAAGGCGAUGAUCUGUAGCUGGUCUGAGAGGACGACCAGCCACACUGGGACUGAGACACGGCCCAGACUCCUACGGGAGGCAGCAGUGGGGAAUAUUGGACAAUGGGGGCAACCCUGAUCCAGCCAUGCCGCGUGAGUGAUGAAGGCCUUAGGGUUGUAAAGCAAGGGUACUCGGGAAGAUAAUGACUGUACCGAGAGAAUAAGCCCCGGCUAACUUCGUGCCAGCAGCCGCCGUAA